GCAGGGCUCGGUGGUGCGUGCCUGUAGUCCCAGCUACUUGGGAGGCUGAGGUGGGAGGAUUGCUUAAUCCCAGGAGUUCUGGGCUGUAGUGCGCUAUGUCGAUCGGGUGUCCACACUAAGUUCAGCAUCAAUAUGGUGAACUCCCGGGAGCAGGGGACCAGUAGGUUGCCUAAGUACGGGUGAACCGGUCCUGGUCAGAAACGGAGAAGGUCAAAACCCCCGUGCUGAUCAACAGUGGGACUGCGCCUGUGAAUAGCCACUGCACUCCAGCCUGGGCAACAGAGAGAACCCGUCUCU
RNAcentral lists this signal recognition particle RNA (297 nucleotides) under Saimiri boliviensis boliviensis (Bolivian squirrel monkey). RNAcentral describes it as "Metazoan signal recognition particle RNA (ENSSBOG00000007186.1)". It matches the Rfam family "Metazoan signal recognition particle RNA". From Rfam's summary of the family: The signal recognition particle (SRP) is a universally conserved ribonucleoprotein. It is involved in the co-translational targeting of proteins to membranes. The eukaryotic SRP consists of a 300-nucleotide 7S RNA and six proteins: SRPs 72, 68, 54, 19, 14, and 9. The record is from RNAcentral. Lineage: Eukaryota; Metazoa; Chordata; Mammalia; Primates; Cebidae.